ACUACCCUCCGCUUUCGGGGACACGCGAGAGGGCAAGCCUCGGCCAUGCCGAAAAUCAAAUCAAGCACGCGACCGGUAGGCCAUAAGGCCGAAAGCCGCCA
This 101-nucleotide non-coding RNA is filed under the name unclassified sequences. The record is from Rfam.